GAGGGGGGAAGAGUUGAACUCCUUCGCGGCCUCCAACUUCAACUCCGAUCGGGAGUCUGUUGGGAGAAGAAUCAAUGAAAGAGUCAAGACUCCGUUGUGAGUCUUCUCUCUGUUUUCUAUUUUUUUUAUUUUUUUAUAUUUUAAAAUUGAUGCAAGAUUUGGGAUAUCAUAUUAAAACUGGGAGAGAGAGAGAGAGAGAGA
RNAcentral lists this long non-coding RNA (201 nucleotides) under Elaeis guineensis (African oil palm). RNAcentral's name for it is "long non-coding RNA (EGUI_LNC003652)". The record is from RNAcentral. Lineage: Eukaryota; Viridiplantae; Streptophyta; Magnoliopsida; Arecales; Arecaceae.